GAGUUUGAUCCUGGCUCAGGACGAACGCUGGCGGUAUGCUUAACACAUGCAAGUCGAACGAGAAGGAAGAGCUUGCUCUUCCUGAAAGUGGCGAACGGGUGAGUAACGCGUGGGUAACCUACCCUUUGGAAAGGAAUAGCCUCGGGAAACUGGGAGUAAUGCCUUAUAAGAUACGUUUGUCGCAUGGCAUUUGUAUUAAACGCUCCGGCGCCAUAGGAUGGACCCGCGUCCCAUUAGCUAGUUGGUGAGAUAACAGCUCACCAAGGCCACGAUGGGUAACCGGUCUGAGAGGGCGAACGGUCACACUGGAACUGAGACACGGUCCAGACUCCUACGGGAGGCAGCAGUGGGGAAUAUUGCGCAAUGGGGGCAACCCUGACGCAGCAAUACCGCGUGAGUGAAGAAGGUUUUCGGAUCGUAAAGCUCUGUUAUUGGGGAAGAAAAAAAGACGGUACCCAAGAAGAAAGUUCCGGCUAACUACGUGCCAGCAGCCGCGGUAAUACGUAGGGAACAAGCGUUGUCCGGAUUUACUGGGCGUAAAGGGCACGCAGGCGGUUUUUUAAGUCAGAUGUGAAAGGCCACAGCUCAACUGUGGACAUGCAUUUGAAACUGGAGUUUGAUCCUGGCUCAGGACGAACGCUGGCGGUAUGCUUAACACAUGCAAGUCGAACGAGAAGGAAGAGCUUGCUCUUCCUGAAAGUGGCGAACGGGUGAGUAACGCGUGGGUAACCUACCCUUUGGAAAGGAAUAGCCUCGGGAAACUGGGAGUAAUGCCUUAUAAGAUACGUUUGUCGCAUGGCAUUUGUAUUAAACGCUCCGGCGCCAUAGGAUGGACCCGCGUCCCAUUAGCUAGUUGGUGAGAUAACAGCUCACCAAGGCCACGAUGGGUAACCGGUCUGAGAGGGCGAACGGUCACACUGGAACUGAGACACGGUCCAGACUCCUACGGGAGGCAGCAGUGGGGAAUAUUGCGCAAUGGGGGCAACCCUGACGCAGCAAUACCGCGUGAGUGAAGAAGGUUUUCGGAUCGUAAAGCUCUGUUAUUGGGGAAGAAAAAAAGACGGUACCCAAGAAGAAAGUUCCGGCUAACUACGUGCCAGCAGCCGCGGUAAUACGUAGGGAACAAGCGUUGUCCGGAUUUACUGGGCGUAAAGGGCACGCAGGCGGUUUUUUAAGUCAGAUGUGAAAGGCCACAGCUCAACUGUGGACAUGCAUUUGAAACUG
RNAcentral lists this ribosomal RNA (1224 nucleotides) under uncultured bacterium. RNAcentral describes it as "bacterial SSU rRNA". The stretch from base 605 to 1224 matches the Rfam family "Bacterial small subunit ribosomal RNA", at positions 1 to 635 of the family's 1533-position model. The record is from RNAcentral.